This 253-nucleotide ribosomal RNA is filed under the name uncultured bacterium. RNAcentral's name for it is "partial 16S ribosomal RNA". It matches the Rfam family "Bacterial small subunit ribosomal RNA", at positions 524 to 776 of the family's 1533-position model. The record is from RNAcentral.
UACGGGGGGGGUAAGCGUUGUUCGGAAUUACUGGGCGUAAAGGGCUCGUAGGCGGCCAACUAAGUCGGACGUGAAAUCCCUCAGCUUAACUGGGGAACUGCGUCUGAUACUGGCGAGCUUGAGUGCAGGAGAGGAACGCGGAAUUCCAGGUGUAGCGGUGAAAUGCGUAGAUAUCUGGAGGAACACCGGUGGCGAAGGCGGCGUUCUGGACUGCAACUGACACUGAUGAACGAAAGCCAGGGGAGCAAACGGG